GGGGGGGCUGGCGAGAGGGGAGAGGAUUAAUACCCACUUCCCAUCCCCGGUCAACACGCACAUGCUUGAGUAUGCUGACUUCAUUCAUUGCAAAAUUCUGUUUAAGCAAGCAUCAAGCCAUCUACCAAAAUCUAAACUGAACUUCUGUAUUUGUCCAUACAAGCCGUAAAAUUCAAUUACAAGUUUCUGAAUACAAAACUGAAAAUUCAGGCUUUAGGUCCCUCAAAAUUGAGCAGCCCAUAUUCAUUCUCUUAAUCAAUUCUCACAGAGAAGAGAAAUAUUAUAUCAAAAUAGUAACCGUAUAAAUUUCUAAGUCUAAUCAAUUUAUUGUUGUUUCUCAUAUGGUAUGCCAACAACGCAAAAGAAAAAUGACCAAAUAACAUUCCUUUCACUUUCAUGUUUUAUCUUUCACAUCAAAAGAUGAGGAAAGUUCUGCAACCUCUAAUUCUUAAACCCAGUUCAGAUAUGAACAAUUAAAAAAAUCUCACCAAGCAUUAAAAGAGGGGAAGAACAAAGAACACUGCACGAUUACAAAUAAAAGAAAAAAAAAUCUUUUUAAUUCAUUUUUCCACCUGGGCGACAGCAAAAAUCCACAAAAUGCCUUGAACCAUAACGAAUCACACAAGACACUAAAAAAGGGUAUCUUUGAACCUCACCCACUAGACAAGCAAGAAACCGAUAUGAAUGAAGAGCAAAUGUGUGGUCAGAAACCACGUACACAGAUACAUACAAAUAUUAUAACAAACAUUCUAU
This 753-nucleotide unclassified non-coding RNA is filed under the name Hevea brasiliensis (rubber tree). The record is from RNAcentral. Lineage: Eukaryota; Viridiplantae; Streptophyta; Magnoliopsida; Malpighiales; Euphorbiaceae.